This 612-nucleotide ribosomal RNA is filed under the name Hydraena brachymera. RNAcentral describes it as "partial 16S ribosomal RNA". It matches the Rfam family "Bacterial large subunit ribosomal RNA", at positions 1819 to 2760 of the family's 2925-position model. The record is from RNAcentral. Lineage: Eukaryota; Metazoa; Arthropoda; Insecta; Coleoptera; Hydraenidae.
GUCCUUUUGAUAAUAAUAUAAGGUCUAACCUGCCCACUGAAAUUUUAAAGGGCCGCAGUAUUUUAACUGUGCAAAGGUAGCAUAAUAAUUAGUUUCUUAAUUAGAAGCUGGUAUGAAUGGUUGAACGAGAAAUUUACUGUCUCAAUUUAUAAGUUAAAAUUUUAUUUUUAAGUUAAAAAGCUUAAAUUAAUUUAAAAGACGAGAAGACCCUAUAGAGUUUUAUAGUUAUUUUUAUUUUAUAUUUAGAAUUUAUUAUUUUUAUUUAUAAUUAUUUUAUUGGGGUGAUAUAUAAAUUUAAUAAACUUUAUAUUUUUAUUAACAUAAAUUAAUGAUUAAUUGAUCCAUAUAAAUGAUUAAAAGAAAAAAUUACCUUAGGGAUAACAGCGUAAUUUUUUUUUAGAGUUCUAAUCGAAAAAAAAGAUUGCGACCUCGAUGUUGGAUUAAAAUUAAUUUUUGGUGUAGAAGCUGAAAUAUUAGGUCUGUUCGACCUUUAAAAUUUUACAUGAUCUGAGUUUAAACCGGUGUGAGCCAGGUUGGUUUCUAUCUUUAAAUAAAUUAAAUAUUUUAGUACGAAAGGACCAAAUAUUUUUAAAAAUUAAUUUUUUUUGAAUA